GAGUUUGAUCUUGGCUCAGAUUGAACGCUGGCGGAAUGCUUUACACAUGCAAGUCGAGCGGCAGCGCGGGGGCAACCCUGGCGGCGAGCGGCGAACGGGUGAGUAAUACAUCGGAACAUGUCCAGUUGUGGGGGAUAGCCCGGCGAAAGCCGGAUUAAUACCGCAUGAGCUCGAGAGAGGAAAGCGGGGGACCGUAAGGCCUCGCGCGACUGGGUUGGCCGAUGUCCGAUUAGCUAGUUGGUGGGGUAAAGGCCUACCAAGGCGAUGAUCGGUAGCUGGUCUGAGAGGAUGAUCAGCCACACUGGGACUGAGACACGGCCCAGACUCCUACGGGAGGCAGCAGUGGGGAAUUUUGGACAAUGGGGGAAACCCUGAUCCAGCCAUUCCGCGUGAGUGAAGAAGGCUUUCGGGUUGUAAAGCUCUUUUGUCCGGAACGAACGGUUGCGGUGAUAUCCGCGACUACUGACGGUACCGGAAGAAUAAGCACCGGCUAACUACGUGCCAGCCGCCGCAGUAAC
RNAcentral lists this ribosomal RNA (518 nucleotides) under uncultured beta proteobacterium. Its description in RNAcentral is "bacterial SSU rRNA". It matches the Rfam family "Bacterial small subunit ribosomal RNA", at positions 9 to 524 of the family's 1533-position model. The record is from RNAcentral. Lineage: Bacteria; Pseudomonadati; Pseudomonadota; Betaproteobacteria.